CCUACGGGGGGCAGCAGUGGGGAAUAUUGGGCAAUGGGCGAAAGCCUGACCCAGCGACGCCGCGUGCGGGAGGACGCUUUUCGGAGUGUAAACCGCUGUCAGAGGGGACGAAACCCCGUCACGUGAAUAGCGUGGCGGCUUGACGGUACCCUCAAAGGAAGCACCGGCUAACUCCGUGCCAGCAGCCGCGGUAAUACGGAGGGUGCAAGCGUUGUUCGGAAUCACUGGGCGUAAAGCGCGCGCAGGCGGGACUUGCAAGUCGGGAGUGAAAUCUUGGAGCUCAACUCCGAGGCUGCUUCCGAAACUGCGGACCUGGAGACCGGUAGAGGCGGGUAGAAUUCCCGGUGUAGCGGUGGAAUGCGUAGAGAUCGGGAAGAAUACCUGUGGCGAAGGCGGCCCGCUGGGCCGGAUCUGACGCUGAGGCGCGAAAGCGUGGGGAG
This 440-nucleotide ribosomal RNA is filed under the name uncultured bacterium. RNAcentral describes it as "bacterial SSU rRNA". It matches the Rfam family "Bacterial small subunit ribosomal RNA", at positions 338 to 768 of the family's 1533-position model. The record is from RNAcentral.